Molecule: ribosomal RNA, 281 nt
Filed under: uncultured prokaryote
Description: partial 16S ribosomal RNA
Rfam family: Bacterial small subunit ribosomal RNA
Source: RNAcentral
UACGUAGGGGGCGAGCGUUGUCCGGAAUUAUUGGGCGUAAAGGGUUCGUAGGCGGUUAUUUAAGUCAGAUGUGAAAGGCAUAGGCUCAACCUGUGUAAGCAUUUGAAACUGAGUAACUUGAGUUAAGGAGAGGAAAGUGGAAUUCCUAGUGUAGCGGUGAAAUGCGUAGAUAUUAGGAGGAAUACCAGUGGCGAAGGCGACUUUCUGGACUUAUACUGACGCUGAGGAACUAAAGCGUGGGGAGCAAACAGGAUUAGAUACCCUGGUAGUCCCUGAGCGGG